Molecule: transfer RNA, 29 nt
Filed under: Cylindrospermopsis raciborskii CS-509
Lineage: Bacteria; Bacillati; Cyanobacteriota; Cyanophyceae; Nostocales; Aphanizomenonaceae
Also listed under: 1 other name
Description: tRNA-Ala
Source: RNAcentral
GCAGGAUGUCAGCGGUUCGAGUCCGCUAA